UGGCGGACGGGGGAGUAAUGUCUGGGAAACUGCCCGAUGGAGGGGGGUAACUACUGGAAACGGUAGCUAAUACCGCAUAACGUCGCAAGACCAAGAGGGGACCUUCGGGCCUCUUGCCAUCGGAUGUGCCCAGAUGGGAUUAGCUAGUAGGUGGGGUAACGGCUCACCUAGGCGACGAUCCCUAGCUGGUCUGGGAGGAUGACCAGCCACACUGGAACUGAGACACGGUCCAG
This 233-nucleotide ribosomal RNA is filed under the name uncultured bacterium. RNAcentral's name for it is "partial 16S ribosomal RNA". It matches the Rfam family "Bacterial small subunit ribosomal RNA", at positions 96 to 334 of the family's 1533-position model. The record is from RNAcentral.